UACAGAGGUCUCGAGCGUUGUCCGGAAUUACUGGGCGUAAAGAGCUCGUAGGUGGUUUGUCGCGUUGUUCGUGAAAUCUCACGGCUUAACUGUGAGCGUGCGGGCGAUACGGGCAGACUAGAGUACUGCAGGGGAGACUGGAAUUCCUGGUGUAGCGGUGGAAUGCGCAGAUAUCAGGAGGAACACCGGUGGCGAAGGCGGGUCUCUGGGCAGUAACUGACGCUGAGGAGCGAAAGCGUGGGGAGCGAACAGG
Molecule: ribosomal RNA, 253 nt
Filed under: uncultured bacterium
Lineage: Bacteria
Description: partial 16S ribosomal RNA
Rfam family: Bacterial small subunit ribosomal RNA
Source: RNAcentral